GCAGCCGCGGUAAUUCCAGCUCCAAUAGCGUAUAUUAAAGUUGUUGCAGUUAAAAAGCUCGUAGUUGAAUUUCGGGAUUUAUCCGUUGGUCGGGCUUUUGGGUCUGUACUGGCGUGAUGGAUUUCUACCUUCUGAAUAACCGGCAUGUCAUUAAUUUGGUGCGCCGGGGAAGCAGGACUGUUACCUUGAAAAAAUUAGAGUGCUUAAAGCAGGCUAUUGCCUGAAUACAUUAGCAUGGAAUAAUGAAAUAGGACGGCAUGGUUCUAUUUUGUUGGUUUCUAGGAUCACCGUAAUGAUUAAUAGGGAUAGUUGGGGGCAUUAGUAUUCAAUUGUCAGAGGUGAAAUUCUUGGAUUUAUUGAAGACUAACUUCUGCGAAAGCAUUUGCCAAGGAUGUUUUCAUUAAUCAAGAACGAAAGUUAGGGGAUCGAAGACGAUCAGAUACCGUCGUAGUCUUAACCAUAAACUAUGCCGACUAGGGAUCGGACGAUGUUAAUUUUUUAAUGACUCGUUCGGCGCCUUACG
RNAcentral lists this ribosomal RNA (523 nucleotides) under uncultured Acaulosporaceae. RNAcentral's name for it is "SSU rRNA". It matches the Rfam family "Eukaryotic small subunit ribosomal RNA", at positions 570 to 1092 of the family's 1831-position model. Lineage: Eukaryota; Fungi; Glomeromycota; Glomeromycetes; Diversisporales; Acaulosporaceae. The record is from RNAcentral.